Molecule: transfer RNA, 67 nt
Filed under: Lactarius lactarius (false trevally)
Lineage: Eukaryota; Metazoa; Chordata; Actinopteri; Lactariidae
Description: tRNA-Cys
Rfam family: tRNA
About the family: Transfer RNA (tRNA) molecules are approximately 80 nucleotides in length.
Source: RNAcentral
AGCCUUGAGGUGUAUUACAUAUCAGAUUGCAAAUCUGAAGAAGCAGGCUAGUGACCUGCCGGGGCUU